This 108-nucleotide ribosomal RNA is filed under the name Lentimicrobiaceae bacterium. Lineage: Bacteria; Pseudomonadati; Bacteroidota; Bacteroidia; Bacteroidales; Lentimicrobiaceae. RNAcentral also lists the same sequence under 1 other name. The record is from RNAcentral.
UAUGGUGACUAUAGCGGCGGGGUCCACCUCUUCCCAUUCCGAACAGAGAAGUUAAGCCCGCCAGCGCAGAUGGUACUACUACGGUGGGAGAGUAUGUCGUCGCCAGCC